Molecule: long non-coding RNA, 277 nt
Filed under: Lathyrus oleraceus (garden pea)
Lineage: Eukaryota; Viridiplantae; Streptophyta; Magnoliopsida; Fabales; Fabaceae
Description: Pisum sativum (pea) long non-coding RNA (PSAT_LNC009334)
Source: RNAcentral
GGAGAUGCACAGCGCAAAGAAUUAUGUGGGGAAAUGACCCGCCACACGGUGUUCUAGCAAUGACGAAAUGCCAAGAUUCAGACUGGGGAGAGAACGACAUUGAACACCUGCUGUUGGGGAAAGCGAUAGUGGUUCUGGCAACCACGACCUGCGAGAGAUGACUCAGCAGGGGAAGCAAACACUGAUACGGUACCGAGGUUCUGCUUCAAGGAAAGAAACCAUGGAUCUGGCAUUGGGAUUAUCGAUCUGGCCUCGAACUCUUAGGAGCAGCCACUUC